UACGGGGGGGGCAAGCGUUGUUCGGAAUUACUGGGCGUAAAGGGCUCGUAGGCGGCCAACUAAGUCAGACGUGAAAUCCCUCGGCUUAACCGGGGAACUGCGUCUGAUACUGGAUGGCUUGAGAUUGGGAGAGGGAUGCGGAAUUCCAGGUGUAGCGGUGAAAUGCGCAGAUAUCAGGAGGAACACCAAUUGCGAAGGCAGCUUGCUGGGACGUUACUGACGCUGAGACGCGAAAGCGUGGGGAGCAAACAGG
This 253-nucleotide ribosomal RNA is filed under the name uncultured bacterium. RNAcentral describes it as "partial 16S ribosomal RNA". It matches the Rfam family "Bacterial small subunit ribosomal RNA", at positions 524 to 776 of the family's 1533-position model. The record is from RNAcentral.